AUAUUCAUAUGUAUAUGUAUAGGCAACUACAUGCUCCAUUUUUUAAUAAAAAAUUACUCAAGUAUUUGCUAACUCUUACUAUUAACAGACAUAUAUAUAUGUAUAUUUUUUUUUUUUUUUUUUUUUUUUUUUUUAUACAUAACAUUAAAUAGAAUGAAUUGUUAGAAAGAUUAUUAAAACAUGAAGAAAAUAGUUUAAGCCAAGUAAAGUCGUACGUAAAAGAUAGUAAUAAUAAUUCUAACCACAAUACAAGCAAUUCUUUGUCAGAAAAAAACAUAUCAAAUAAAAAUAUAAAUUUAAAAGAAAAAACAGAAGAUUCUUGUACAAAAGAAUUUGAAGAAAACCAUAAGAAUACAAAUUAUAUAGAAGGUGAAAAAAAAAAAAAUAAAAUAUCAUUGAAUAAUAAAGAAGAAUUUAACAAAAGUGGGUUAAGCAGAAUGAAAGGGUUAUUAAAAAAUAUAUUAACCAGUAAUAGUAAUACAAAAAAUUUAAAAGAAUAUGAACAUUCUGAAUUGGAAAAUGAUAGUACAAUGAAAAAAAACCAAAAUAUGAAUAAUAACCGAGAAGGAAACAAAAAUAUAGAAAAUGAUAAUGAAGAAAGUAGUAAAAAAAAAAUGGCUAUACCAGAAAUAACAUUCUCGAAAGAAUCUAUAUAUAAUCAAAGCACUUUACAAAAAAAUACUACUCUAAAUGAUAAUACUUUUUUAACAGAAGAGAAAAAAAAAGAAAUAAGAAAAAAGCGAUUUGGUAAUUAUUACAAAUUGGCUUAUUCAUUUAUGCAUUUUUCUUUUUUUGGUUUCACUUUCCAUAUAUAUAUAUACACAUACAUUAUCUUUUGA
This 839-nucleotide long non-coding RNA is filed under the name Piliocolobus tephrosceles (Ugandan red Colobus). RNAcentral's name for it is "lncRNA (ENSPTEG00000007859.1)". The record is from RNAcentral. Lineage: Eukaryota; Metazoa; Chordata; Mammalia; Primates; Cercopithecidae.